Molecule: long non-coding RNA, 2370 nt
Organism: Chiroxiphia lanceolata (lance-tailed manakin)
Lineage: Eukaryota; Metazoa; Chordata; Aves; Passeriformes; Pipridae
Exons: 3
Source: RefSeq, a predicted model, not a curated record
UUGUGUCCAUGGAAACAGCUGGUUCAGACUCCUUGGUCAGAUUCUGUGAUGUCAUCAGUCUUGAGUGUGAUGUAAGAAUUUAUGAAGGAAGUGCUGGCAUUGGCAGGCACGUCGAGAGGGGGCAUGGCUGCACAGUGGGAGAGAUUCCAUUCAGUCACGAAUGUCCACCGCUUUUUAUCUCAACAGCCUAACCUGAAAAACAAAGUGAAAAUAAUAUUGGAAUGGUUCCUUGCCUCUGCCUGCCAACAGGCCCCCCCGGCUUUGGAAAAACCCACUCAGCACCUACCACAGCAGUAACACCAAGAGCUCUUUAGUUUUGUGGACUGAAAACGGAUGGAAGCACAAUGGUGAGGAGUUCAUAAAAGCAAAUCCAUGGAUAAAAAGCAUUAGUUUAACAAUCAGUAAAAGAUUAAACAAGCCCAGUUAUGGAGCAGGUCCAGGAUGACAGGAUGAUCCGUGCCACGACUCUGACAGAGCCACUGCCGCCAGCGGCCAGACAGGAGCUCGCUCACCUCGUGCUCGCUCCUCACGCUGACGGUCACCCCACUACCAUGCAACAGUGCUUUCCGGUGAACAUGUAGCAGAUAAUGAAACCAGUAUCAAAAUUACAGGAGUCCAGUCGCAGGAACCGAAUCUGGGAAAUGGCUACAUUUCACCAGCUAAAGGUAAAGCUGUGGUUUAACUAAUUGGAGGGCAGGUAGGGGAUGUGCCUGGGAAGCAAGAGAACGGCAGUGAGGGAAGAGGAUUAUCAUCAUCAGCUCCAAGCACUGACAUGAAAGAGCAGCUUCACCUGCAUGAUUGCAUGAAAAGGACUGAGAAGCAACUAUCUUAAGAAAUGCAACUAAGCAGUGAAAUGAAGGCAAGAGACCUUCUUGGGCUGCAGUUUCAUGGAAAGGGUGCCAACAAAUAUUAAUUUGAAACCAAAUACUUACUUCACUUUAUUCUACUCUGUUGCCUUUGAACAACCAUGCACUUGCCAUUGAAUACAAAAUAAGAAAUCCCAACCUCAUCCUGUUCCUUGGGUGCUACUCCCUCCUUGUGCCAGUGUAUUUUCCCAGCCAUCCAGUGAAACAGACUGGGAAAAUGACCCAGCCCAGACGCUAACAUGACAAAAAGCAGUUUCAGACAAACUGAACUCCCCAUCAAGUUCACACGUGGCUGUAUGAACGCUGGGAUUAGACAAAGGAGGAGGCAGGAAGGAAGUGCAGUGGGGCACUUGGGGCACAUUACAAAGUUACAAAAUUGUGAGCACUUCUGGAUAUAGUUCCACCUUCUCUGACCCAGGUCUGUUCACAAAAUGGAGAAAAACACGGGGCUAAUAGAAACGCAGUGGGCUCUCGCUAAGACUGAUUUCCUUAUCCCUGUAUCUACAUUUCCAGAAAACAGGGGAAUCCUAGAUUACAAUAAUCCUGAACUCAUCAAUAUUUUAAUUAUUCCUUACAUACUUACAAUCUAAGAUACUUCAAGGAGUUUAUUUAUUUAUAGGGAAGCUUACUAUUAACUACUCUGAGACUUGCAAAAACACCUCUUCAGAUCCUUAGGGACACGAUACAAAAGGAGAUUUCUGCCACUGGUUUAGCUGAGAGAGUAAUCAGGCAGUUGUAACAGCUAACAAGCUUUGCCUUUCACUACUUAACAGAAGGAACUGCUGCAGAAAUACAAAAAAGUGAAGUCACUAGCCUGAACAGAAUGGUAGCAGGAGGAAAAAAAAUCAUUACAAAUUUUCUGAAUGUACACAAAAGCACCUUGAUUUCUCAUAGAAAUGGGGAAGGCACUGGAAAGAGCCCCAGAAGGCAGCAGCGGAAACUGGAAACUCUCCCCAACUCACCUGUGCUUGCUUUUAUAUCCAUUCCCAGGAGUACACUUCCCCCCUCACCCCCGCUCCGACUGCUCUGUGCUGAGGCUGCCUUUCACCAUCUUGUUCUGCAAGGAGGGAAGAGAGCAAGGAAGGGGGGGCUGACGAACCAGCAAGCCAAACAGAGGAGGAAAAAGAAAAUGAGGGAGCAACGGAAGACAGGGGUAGGGAAAGUGAACAUACAGAAAGUGAGAGAGAGAAAGAGAAGUCAGUAUUGGAACCAGACAUAGAUUUUUCAGACAGAGUUUUCCCUGAGACAAAAGCAGGCAAUUCCGCAAAAGUAAAGAGUUUGAGAUAUGAAAGCCUGAGUUAUUUUAAGAAACACAGAAUUUAACACAAAAGGAUAGAACAAGCUGAGAAGUAUCACUUUAAAAUUGCUCCAGAGAUGGCUUAAGAUAAUCUAAGACUGCAGAGCCACCAAAAGGUGAGGUAUCCCAUACCCUUUAUAGACUACUCAGUGCCUCGGCAUCCUCCUCUGCUCUGUUGCAACCACAUUUGCUGCGAAGCAGACACAG